RNAcentral lists this ribosomal RNA (449 nucleotides) under uncultured bacterium. RNAcentral describes it as "bacterial SSU rRNA". It matches the Rfam family "Bacterial small subunit ribosomal RNA", at positions 28 to 477 of the family's 1533-position model. The record is from RNAcentral.
GAUGAACGCUGGCGGCGUGCUUAACACAUGCAAGUCGAACGGGAAUUACUUUAUUGAAACUUCGGUCGAUUUAAUUUAAUUCUAGUGGCGGACGGGUGAGUAACGCGUGGGUAACCUGCCUUGUACAGGGGGAUAACAGUCAGAAAUGACUGCUAAUACCGCAUAAGCGCACAGGACCGCAUGGUCCGGUGUGAAAAACUCCGGUGGUAUAAGAUGGACCCGCGUUGGAUUAGCUAGUUGGUGGGGUAACGGCCUACCAAGGCGACGAUCCAUAGCCGGCCUGAGAGGGUGAACGGCCACAUUGGGACUGAGACACGGCCCAGACUCCUACGGGAGGCAGCAGUGGGGAAUAUUGCACAAUGGGGGAAACCCUGAUGCAGCGACGCCGCGUGAAGGAAGAAGUAUCUCGGUAUGUAAACUUCUAUCAGCAGGGAAGAAUUAGGACGGUA